This is a non-coding RNA of Cinara cedri, 344 nucleotides long. Lineage: Eukaryota; Metazoa; Arthropoda; Insecta; Hemiptera; Aphididae. The record is from the annotation of a GenBank genome assembly.
GGAAUAUUGUAUUGAAUUACUGUCUUUGAGUUUUUAGCGUUUAAACAUUGACAAAAACUAAGACACCAUCAUAAGAUGAAUGAGAAGGUCAGAGGAACAUUACAUUUAUAAGAAAUGAAACAUAGGAAAGAGUUUUGUUUAUUGAUUCUAAGUGUUGUAUAGGAGUAAUGUUAUUUGGAGACCAAAUAAAAGAAGCAUAUUCUAGAUUGGAAUGUACCAAGGAAUUAUAAACAUUUAUUAGAGCAUGAGAGUUACUAGAUUCUGAACAGCUACGCUUUAAAAAGCCUAAUUUUGGAAUUGCUUUUUUUCUUAUUUUAUCAAUAUGAUAAUUAAAAUUCAAUUUC